RNAcentral lists this ribosomal RNA (253 nucleotides) under uncultured bacterium. RNAcentral describes it as "partial 16S ribosomal RNA". It matches the Rfam family "Bacterial small subunit ribosomal RNA", at positions 524 to 776 of the family's 1533-position model. The record is from RNAcentral.
UACGGAGGGGGCUAGCGUUGUUCGGAAUCACUGGGCGUAAAGGGCGCGUAGGCGGGCUGGUCAGUCGGGGGUGAAAUCCUGGGGCUCAACCGGAGAAGUGCCUUUGAUACUGCCAGGCUUGAGGGAGGUAGGGGCGUGUGGAACUUCCAGUGGAGCGGUGAAAUGCGUUGAUAUUGGAAGGAACGCCGGUGGCGAAAGCGACACGCUGGGUCUCUUCUGACGCUGAGGCGCGAAAGCUAGGGGAGCGAACGGG